This 370-nucleotide ribosomal RNA is filed under the name uncultured bacterium. RNAcentral describes it as "bacterial SSU rRNA". It matches the Rfam family "Bacterial small subunit ribosomal RNA", at positions 355 to 723 of the family's 1533-position model. The record is from RNAcentral.
UAAGGAAUAUUGGUCAAUGGACGCAAGUCUGAACCAGCCAUGCCGCGUGAAGGAUGAAGGUCCUCUGGAUUGUAAACUUCUUUUAUCUGGGACGAAAACGGGAUUUUUAUCUCAAUUGACGGUACCAGAGGAAUAAGCACCGGCUAACUCCGUGCCAGCAGCCGCGGUAAUACGGAGGGUGCGAGCGUUAUCCGGAUUUACUGGGUUUAAAGGGUGCGUAGGUGGGCUUAUAAGUCAGUGGUGAAAUCUCCGAGCUUAACUUGGAAACUGCCGUUGAUACUAUAGGUCUUGAAUUAUCUGGAGGUAAGCGGAAUAUGGCAUGUAGCGGUGAAAUGCUUAGAUAUGACAUAGAACACCAAUUGCGAAGGCA